AGGAGGCAUCGCAUCCGCCUAUCUGUUGAACAUCCUUGGCCUGAUAGAAAUGGUGAUAGCCAUUAUGGCUUCAGCCUUCUGCUGUUGUGGCAUGGCCUGUUGUCACUCGUCUUCACCAACAACCACCACUGUGUACACCCACCAGAACAUUCCGAUGGUUGUGACAACCGACCAGUACACUCAGCCGGCUGGAAUCGUUUAGCCCCCUCCCGCAUACAACGUUCAGCAGGCGUAUCCCCCUGCUGGCCAGCCUGUUGCUCCAGCUCCCUACAACCAAGCUCCUGCUGCCCCGUACAACCAGGCUCCUGGUGCCCCGUACAACCAGGCUCCUGGUGUCCUGACAACCAGGCUCCUGCUGCCCCGUACAACCAAGCUCCUGCUGCUCUGUCAAACUAGGCUCCUUCUUACUCGCACAACUAACAAGCAGCUGCUGCACCCAUCAAAUCUGGCGAAGUGGUGACUUAAAUGCGUUCAGAAAAUGGGUCUUAUUAAUGAAACUACCCGGAUAUGUAAAUGCUUAUAUUGGGAAUAACAAGCCAUAGCUAUAUGUUUGAUAAAUAAAAUGCAAGCCUACUCUGAGACACACGAAUAUUUAGAGAAAAAGUAGUUCAUCCUCACAAACUUUUAAAUAUUCUGAAGAGAGUGGUUUCGAUUGUUAGCCGUGAUA
Long non-coding RNA from Strongylocentrotus purpuratus (purple sea urchin), 667 nucleotides. RefSeq lists it as uncharacterized. The record is from RefSeq and is a predicted model, not a curated record. Lineage: Eukaryota; Metazoa; Echinodermata; Echinoidea; Camarodonta; Strongylocentrotidae. The transcript has 3 exons.